RNAcentral lists this ribosomal RNA (430 nucleotides) under uncultured Lachnospiraceae bacterium. Its description in RNAcentral is "bacterial SSU rRNA". It matches the Rfam family "Bacterial small subunit ribosomal RNA", at positions 341 to 788 of the family's 1533-position model. The record is from RNAcentral. Lineage: Bacteria; Bacillati; Bacillota; Clostridia; Lachnospirales; Lachnospiraceae.
ACGGAAGGCAGCAGUGGGGAAUAUUGCACAAUGGGGGAAACCCUGAUGCAGCGACGCCGCGUGAGUGAUGAAGUAUUUCGGUAUGUAAAGCUCUAUCAGCAGGGAAGAAAAUGACGGUACCUGACUAAGAAGCACCGGCUAAAUACGUGCCAGCAGCCGCGGUAAUACGUAUGGUGCAAGCGUUAUCCGGAUUUACUGGGUGUAAAGGGAGCGUAGGCGGCAUGGCAAGUCAGAUGUGAAAGCCCGGGGCCCAACCCCGGAACUGCAUUUGAACCUGUCGAGCUAGAGUGCCGGAGAGGUAAGCGGAAUUCCUAGUGUAGCGGUGAAAUGCGUAGAUAUUAGGAGGAACACCAGUGGCGAAGGCGGCUUACUGGACGGUAACUGACGCUGAGGCUCGAAAGCGUGGGGAGCAAACAGGAUUAGAUACCCU